Molecule: unclassified non-coding RNA, 313 nt
Filed under: Hevea brasiliensis (rubber tree)
Lineage: Eukaryota; Viridiplantae; Streptophyta; Magnoliopsida; Malpighiales; Euphorbiaceae
Source: RNAcentral
GGUAUUCGCGGCACCGCGGUGCUGGUGGAAAUCGGCGCGAACGACGGACCGACAAAAUUCUCGGUGCUGGUCGAGCCGGACGGGCAUACCGGCUCCUACAAUCUCUACGACAAGACGACCGGCCAGUUGAUCGGAACGGUGUCGCAGGCCGGGCAGGUGACCUACGUGUCGGUCAGCGGCGUUGGCCAGCCUCCGACAGCGAUUGAACAGCUCAAGACGCUCGCGGAUCAGGAAUCCGCGAAGACACUGAUUCAGGAAGUCUUCAAGCUUUACUUCCCGAACUACAAUCCGGACAACGCCAAUCCGAAGUCGC